AAUAAAUCAACUUUUGAGUUUUUAUACAAUGUUUAGCUCUUCGUCUUAUUAAAAAAAUUUAUGAUUAAUAAUUUUAUUUUUAUUAGAUGAUAAAAUAUGAAUAGUAUUUUAUGUGUGAAUAAUUUUUUAAAAAAAAUUUGAAAAUUUUUCAAAUAAGACGAAUGGUCAAACGCUCGACACAAAAACC
This 187-nucleotide microRNA precursor is filed under the name Oryza brachyantha (malo sina). RNAcentral's name for it is "MIR812 microRNA precursor family". It matches the Rfam family "MIR812 microRNA precursor family". Lineage: Eukaryota; Viridiplantae; Streptophyta; Magnoliopsida; Poales; Poaceae. The record is from Rfam by way of RNAcentral.